GACGAACGCUGGCGGCGUGCCUAAUACAUGCAAGUAGAACGCUGAAGGAGGAGCUUGCUCUUCUGGAUGAGUUGCGAACGGGUGAGUAACGCGUAGGUAACCUGCCUGGUAGCGGGGGAUAACUAUUGGAAACGAUAGCUAAUACCGCAUAACAGUAGAUGUUGCAUGACAUUUACUUAAAAGGUGCAAUUGCAUCACUACCAGAUGGACCUGCGUUGUAUUAGCUAGUUGGUGGGGUAACGGCUCACCAAGGCGACGAUACAUAGCCGACCUGAGAGGGUGAUCGGCCACACUGGGACUGAGACACGGCCCAGACUCCUACGGGAGGCAGCAGUAGGGAAUCUUCGGCAAUGGACGGAAGUCUGACCGAGCAACGCCGCGUGAGUGAAGAAGGUUUUCGGAUCGUAAAGCUCUGUUGUAAGAGAACAACGAGUGUGAGAGUGGAAAGUUCACACUGUGACGGUAUCUUACCAGAAAGGGACGGCUAACUACGUG
Molecule: ribosomal RNA, 495 nt
Filed under: uncultured bacterium
Lineage: Bacteria
Description: partial 16S ribosomal RNA
Rfam family: Bacterial small subunit ribosomal RNA
Source: RNAcentral